GAAAGUUGCAGCUAAUGAAAAGCAGACUUAUUCAGCAGAACCCCCAAGAGGAUGCAGACUAAGAAAUGCCAAUGCUUUGAUGGGUACAAGGAAGAAAUAGGACUAAGACAAGACAAAUAAUGGAGGACUUACAUGGCAGAUGUAAAUCACCCACAUCUCUUUCUCCAACUCCUUAUGCUCGAUGCUCAGCAUUGAAGCCCUUUACCCCAGGGACAAAUACAAGUUUGACAAAGCCAUCUGAGGAAAAUAAGGCAACAAGGAGAAGUGCAGAGAUAAGGUGGGGAAAGCCCCUUAUAAAACCAUCAGAUCUCGUGAGAACUCAUCCACAUCACAAGAACAGCAGGAAGAAACGGAACAAGGGGAAUGCAAUCUCACAGGAUGGAAAUAACCUGUGGUGAAUUGUUGCCAUCCAGAUCCACUUUUAAGUCCACAUGGUUCAUUCAUUUUGGACUAGAUCCUGGUACAGCCCAGUGAACUGAUGUUCUUGAAAUCAGGCACAGAGGCUCUGAAGUAAUGCAUUACAUUUGCAUCCAUGAUUUGCUUAAAAUAUUCCAUUUAGCCUUUCCUCCCAGGAAACAAAGCCAGCAGUAUUUGAUUAUUGAAUAGCUCUUUUUGGAUGCUUAGUUUGAGAAGAUUUUAUUAAGAUUAUGGGAAACUUGAAUUUUACAAAAUGAAUCAUGAGUUAUAUUUCAGUUUUGAUUUGUCUCCAAGGGUUGAAAUACAUAGAAGUCUAGGAUACAUUAUAUAUUAGCUCUAUUUUAGCAUGCAUUUAAUGCAAUCACAGGCAAAAAUCAAAUGCUUUAAAGAAAAAGAUUGCAGUUUUAGAAAUGAAGGAUGUGAAAAAGGACGAAUCUAUAUAGGUAAAAGUGAACUUAGAGUAAUAACAUGCAAUAUAGUCUAUGUAGAUAUGCAUAUUUUAAUUGUAUAUUACUAUUUGUCCCAUCACAAUAAUUGGUUUAAACAAUGGUAUAUUUAUAUGUGUAAAACAAAGUUUGGUAUGUGUGUGCACACAUAUACACACAGAAACACACACACACACUUUUCUAAUCAACUAACAUUUAAGAAAUACCACUGAAGGAAAUAUUAAUGACAGAAAGAGCUUUUCUGCACACAGAAAAGCACACACACUCCUAUGCAGCAUACAAAUAGGUAAGAGUACAUGUUUUCCCUAAAAGAAGAGCAAGAGACCAACGGAAUAAGCCCCUUUACUGGGUUCCCAUAUGGCUGAAUGGUCUCAAUAUCUCAAUCUUUAGAACAUACCUCAGCAUCUCCACAUCUCCUCCUACCUCUGUCCUGUGUUGCUGGGACACAGGGGCAGGAAAUGGAUGCAUCCCUUCCCAUGCACGCCCAAACAGCUCCUCAACUCAAUCUCAGCCCCAUGCCUCUUCUGUUCUUCUGUGAGGAAGUGGCUUCUCAGGACCUAUCAGAGAGCUCAGCACAUGUUAACUUCUCACACAGGCUUAAGCCAACAUAAUCGUCAACAUUAAAAAGUAACAACAUAAUAUUUGGGCGGAUGAUGUUUUCUGUUCAUAAUCAACAGUGACUUCUCAGAGUGGCCUUUUCUGACCUCUCUAUCUAAAUAGUACUUUAUGUUUUCUCUAUCCCCUCCCUAAAUUACUCUGGUUCAUUUUUUGUCAUAGAAUUUUUACUGCUGAAUAGUGUCAUAGACCUAUUCACUUAUUUAUUUUCUCACUCUUCCCAGUAAAAUAUAAGAUGCAUAGAGAAGAAUUUUGUUUUGUUCCCCUCUGCCAUAUGGGAAAGAACAGUGGUGGAAUUUAGUAGAUGCUCAAUAAAUAUUUGUUGAUUUAAUAAAAAAAUUCAUUUGUUGGGUUUCUUAAGUUGGCUUAUCCCAGAUGCAGAUCCAAAGCCGAGGACGGAGUUGCAAGUGAUGCAUUAAGGAUGUGUUUCCAGGAGCAUCCAGAAAGGAGACGGGGACAUGGAGCAGGACAGGAAAGGCGAGGGAAGCAAGAGUUUCAUUUUAGGUGGACACAGGUAGUUCUCAUGAGAAGACCUGAGAUGUAAAUUUCAACUCUAAGUUUUUCACGUGGAAACAAAGGAACUAUACUUCCCACCAAAAAAUACCUAAUUACUCGGAGCCCCUGAUUGGGAGGGAGGUAGUAAACUUUCCCUCUUAGUUUGUUGUUGCCACACACCUUACUUAAUUUUCUUGAACCACUUCGCUCUUUAGAUGGUGACAAUUAACUAAGUUGAGCAACUAAUGUUUCAAAAAGAUAGAGGGUCGCCUACUUUCCUAUUAAAUAAAGCAUAUACUUUAAAGUGGCCUAAUUUUUACACAGUGUCAUCCGGUCUGUGAAGCAUUGUCAUAUGUAGUAUUGAUAUCCUUUGAUUCUCAAAACAACCCUUUAAGCUAGAAGUAAAAAUGUUCUUUCUUUCUCUUGCCACAUUUUGAAAAACUGAGAUCCAGAUAGGUUAAGUUUUAGUAGUUGAGCCAAGAUUAAAAAAGGAGUUGAUUGCAGAAAUUAUUUAUGUUCUUACUGCUAUACCAAGCUGUGACACAAAGAGAUUAUUCUGCCUUUAUUUUCUUAAUCACUAAGAUUCUAAAAAUAAAAAACUCCAGGCCAAGUAAGUGGGGAAGAACAAAUCAAACCAGAUUAAUGAGGGAAAUGUUAACGACAGAAAGAGCUUGGAGGCUCUCCAAUCACAUUGAGCAGGGGCUGCUGAUUCCAUCUGUGCUGGAGAAUAGUGUGACACUGCGCCACCCCCAUGCUACCCGCCCCUCUGUUUAGUCCCUCAUACUUACCAUGUGAGUUGUCUUUAUUCCGUUGAAUCCUACUCUAAAUUCUGCACUGUAAGAUUUUCAAGAUUUCACUAAUGGAAAAGAAUUUGAAAAAUAACAUUUGAAGAAUGGUAGUGGGCUUUAAUAGUCAAUGAAGAGUGAAAAGAAGUAUUUGUUUGGACAAAAACCGAAUCCAGAAAACAGCUGAUGACCUACAUACUAGCUGGAAUGACUUUGC
Molecule: long non-coding RNA, 2975 nt
Organism: Pan troglodytes (chimpanzee)
Lineage: Eukaryota; Metazoa; Chordata; Mammalia; Primates; Hominidae
Exons: 3
Source: RefSeq, a predicted model, not a curated record